GGGUUGUGAGGUUAAGCGACUAAGCGUACACGGUGGAUGCCCUGGCAGUCAGAGGCGAUGAAGGACGUGCUAAUCUGCGAUAAGCGCCGGUAAGGUGAUAUGAACCGUUAUAACCGGCGAUUUCCGAAUGGGGAAACCCAGUGUGAUUCGUCACACUAUCAUUAACUGAAUCCAUAGGUUAAUGAGGCGAACCGGGGGAACUGAAACAUCUAAGUACCCCGAGGAAAAGAAAUCAACCGAGAUUCCCCCAGUAGCGGCGAGCGAACGGGGAGGAGCCCAGAGCCUGAAUCAGCAUGUGUGUUAGUGGAAGCGUCUGGAAAGGCGCGCGAUACAGGGUGACAGCCCCGUACACAAAAGCGCAUGUGCUGUGAGCUCGAUGAGUAGGGCGGGACACGUGGUAUCCUGUCUGAAUAUGGGGGGACCAUCCUCCAAGGCUAAAUACUCCUGACUGACCGAUAGUGAACCAGUACCGUGAGGGAAAGGCGAAAAGAACCCCGGCGAGGGGAGUGAAAAAGAACCUGAAACCGUGUACGUACAAGCAGUGGGAGCACAGGUUUACCUGUGUGACUGCGUACCUUUUGUAUAAUGGGUCAGCGACUUAUAUUCUGUAGCAAGGUUAACCGAAUAGGGGAGCCGGAGGGAAACCGAGUCUUAAUUGGGCGUUAAGUUGCAGGGUAUAGACCCGAAACCCGGUGAUCUAGCCAUGGGCAGGUUGAAGGUUGGGUAACACUAACUGGAGGACCGAACCGACUAAUGUUGAAAAAUUAGCGGAUGACCUGUGGCUGGGGGUGAAAGGCCAAUCAAACCGGGAGAUAGCUGGUUCUCCCCGAAAGCUAUUUAGGUAGCGCCUCGUGAAUUCAUCUCCGGGGGUAGAGCACUGUUUCGGCUAGGGGGCCAUCCCGGCUUACCAACCCGAUGCAAACUGCGAAUACCGGAGAAUGUUAUCACGGGAGACACACGGCGGGUGCUAACGUCCGUCGUGAAGAGGGAAACAACCCAGACCGCCAGCUAAGGUCCCAAAGUCAUGGUUAAGUGGGAAACGAUGUGGGAAGGCCCAGACAGCCAGGAUGUUGGCUUAGAAGCAGCCAUCAUUUAAAGAAAGCGUAAUAGCUCACUGGUCGAGUCGGCCUGCGCGGAAGAUGUAACGGGGCUAAACCAUGCACCGAAGCUGCGGCAGCGAACGUAUCACUUAAAGCGAUUCAGCGGGUUACGAUUGACGGAGCGAAGCGACGUCAAAGCGUAUACAAAGUCGAGUCGGUUUAAGGAUACGUUCGUUGGGUAGGGGAGCGUUCUGUAAGCCCGUGAAGGUGGCCUGUGAGGGUUGCUGGAGGUAUCAGAAGUGCGAAUGCUGACAUAAGUAACGAUAAAGCGGGUGAAAAGCCCGCUCGCCGGAAGACCAAGGGUUCCUGUCCAACGUUAAUCGGGGCAGGGUGAGUCGACCCCUAAGGCGAGGCCGAAAGGCGUAGUCGAUGGGAAACGGGUUAAUAUUCCCGUACUUGGUGUUACUGCGAAGGGGGGACGGAGAAGGCUAUGUUGGCCGGGCGACGGUUGUCCCGGUUUAAGCGUGUAGGUGUGUGUUCCAGGUAAAUCCGGUUCACUUUAACACUGAGGCGUGACGACGAGGCACUACGGUGCUGAAGCAACAAAUGCCCUGCUUCCAGGAAAAGCCUCUAAGCAUCAGGUAACACGAAAUCGUACCCCAAACCGACACAGGUGGUCAGGUAGAGAAUACCAAGGCGCUUGAGAGAACUCGGGUGAAGGAACUAGGCAAAAUGGUGCCGUAACUUCGGGAGAAGGCACGCUGACACGUAGGUGAAGUGAUUUACUCAUGGAGCUGAAGUCAGUCGAAGAUACCAGCUGGCUGCAACUGUUUAUUAAAAACACAGCACUGUGCAAACACGAAAGUGGACGUAUACGGUGUGACGCCUGCCCGGUGCCGGAAGGUUAAUUGAUGGGGUCAGCGCAAGCGAAGCUCCUGAUCGAAGCCCCGGUAAACGGCGGCCGUAACUAUAACGGUCCUAAGGUAGCGAAAUUCCUUGUCGGGUAAGUUCCGACCUGCACGAAUGGCGUAAUGAUGGCCAGGCUGUCUCCACCCGAGACUCAGUGAAAUUGAACUCGCUGUGAAGAUGCAGUGUACCCGCGGCAAGACGGAAAGACCCCGUGAACCUUUACUAUAGCUUGACACUGAACAUUGAGCCUUGAUGUGUAGGAUAGGUGGGAGGCUUUGAAGUGUGGACGCCAGUCUGCAUGGAGCCGACCUUGAAAUACCACCCUUUAAUGUUUGAUGUUCUAACGUGGACCCGUAAUCCGGGUUGCGGACAGUGUCUGGUGGGUAGUUUGACUGGGGCGGUCUCCUCCUAAAGAGUAACGGAGGAGCACGAAGGUUGGCUAAUCCUGGUCGGACAUCAGGAGGUUAGUGCAAUGGCAUAAGCCAGCUUGACUGCGAGCGUGACGGCGCGAGCAGGUGCGAAAGCAGGUCAUAGUGAUCCGGUGGUUCUGAAUGGAAGGGCCAUCGCUCAACGGAUAAAAGGUACUCCGGGGAUAACAGGCUGAUACCGCCCAAGAGUUCAUAUCGACGGCGGUGUUUGGCACCUCGAUGUCGGCUCAUCACAUCCUGGGGCUGAAGUAGGUCCCAAGGGUAUGGCUGUUCGCCAUUUAAAGUGGUACGCGAGCUGGGUUUAGAACGUCGUGAGACAGUUCGGUCCCUAUCUGCCGUGGGCGCUGGAGAACUGAGGGGGGCUGCUCCUAGUACGAGAGGACCGGAGUGGACGCAUCACUGGUGUUCGGGUUGUCAUGCCAAUGGCACUGCCCGGUAGCUAAAUGCGGAAGAGAUAAGUGCUGAAAGCAUCUAAGCACGAAACUUGCCCCGAGAUGAGUUCUCCCUGAGACUUAGAGUCUCCUGAAGGAACGUUGAAGACGACGACGUUGAUAGGCCGGGUGUGUAAGCGCAGCGAUGCGUUGAGCUAACCGGUACUAAUGAACCGUGAGGCUUAACCUUACAACGCCGAAG
Molecule: ribosomal RNA, 3010 nt
Filed under: Salmonella enterica subsp. enterica serovar Typhimurium
Lineage: Bacteria; Pseudomonadati; Pseudomonadota; Gammaproteobacteria; Enterobacterales; Enterobacteriaceae
Also listed under: 1 other name
Description: 23S ribosomal RNA
Rfam family: Bacterial large subunit ribosomal RNA
Source: RNAcentral